Engraulis encrasicolus (European anchovy) is the source of this 459-nucleotide long non-coding RNA. RefSeq lists it as uncharacterized. The record is from RefSeq and is a predicted model, not a curated record. Lineage: Eukaryota; Metazoa; Chordata; Actinopteri; Clupeiformes; Engraulidae. The transcript is spliced from 3 exons.
UGGUGCGCUUACGGCAACCCAAAAGACUGCCAAAAUCAACUGUCAAGAGAAACUCGUGCUUGCCUCACUUCAGUUUCCCCAGCGCCAGUGUGUGUCAGACUUCAGUUUAUGCAGAUGUGCUGCUGCUGAAGUCACCCGGUGGAGGAACUUGUUUUUUGACAGGCAUACUACAGAUGCUGUGCUGCGAACGGACACUGCAGUCACCUGUGGGAGGGGUCAAUCAAAUCGGAUCUCAAAAACAGGUACCAAAUUUUAAUAACACCCCUCCCCCCUCUCCCGUCUAUUACUCUAUUAAUCAAGUGCAUUUGUGCCGCCACUUGGCCAGGACACCCUUGUUAAAAGAGAUUUUUAAUCUCAACAGGUUUAUUUUCCUGGUUAAAUAAAGGUUAAAUAAAAGAAGAAAAAAAAUGUAAUGCCACUGUUUUCAAAGUUACUUUUGCAUGUAGUAAUUCAAUUUGG